This 76-nucleotide transfer RNA is filed under the name Candidatus Portnoybacteria bacterium CG06_land_8_20_14_3_00_39_12. RNAcentral describes it as "tRNA-Thr". It matches the Rfam family "tRNA". Rfam says of the family: Transfer RNA (tRNA) molecules are approximately 80 nucleotides in length. Their secondary structure includes four short double-helical elements and three loops (D, anti-codon, and T loops). The record is from RNAcentral. Lineage: Bacteria; Candidatus Portnoyibacteriota.
GCCUGAAUAGCUCAGUUGGCAGAGCAACUCCAUGGUAAGGAGUAGGUCGUCAGUUCGAAUCUGACUUCAGGCUCAA